Molecule: small nuclear RNA, 103 nt
Organism: Myotis myotis
Lineage: Eukaryota; Metazoa; Chordata; Mammalia; Chiroptera; Vespertilionidae
Source: RefSeq, a predicted model, not a curated record
GUGCUCGCCUGGGCAGCACAUAUACUAAAAUUGGAACAUACAGAGAUUAGCAUGACCCCUGCGCAAGGAUGACAUGCAAAUUCGUGAAGUGUUCCAUAUUUUG